Molecule: long non-coding RNA, 168 nt
Organism: Maniola jurtina (meadow brown)
Lineage: Eukaryota; Metazoa; Arthropoda; Insecta; Lepidoptera; Nymphalidae
Exons: 3
Source: RefSeq, a predicted model, not a curated record
AGUAUAUUCUAUCCACGGAAGGAAGUUAAUAUAGGACUCUCUCUGUUACGAAAUCCCAUACAAAUGACGAAGACAAAAAGUCAGUGGCGUUAACCAUUUUGAGUGACCAACCAAUCACAUAUGAGCCUAUGUUUUCCGUACUAACUUGUUAACGUCCGAAAUUUAAAU